This 219-nucleotide unclassified non-coding RNA is filed under the name Sakaguchia lamellibrachiae. RNAcentral describes it as "partial internal transcribed spacer region". The stretch from base 1 to 46 matches the Rfam family "Eukaryotic small subunit ribosomal RNA", at positions 1786 to 1831 of the family's 1831-position model. Lineage: Eukaryota; Fungi; Basidiomycota; Cystobasidiomycetes; Sakaguchiales; Sakaguchiaceae. The record is from RNAcentral.
AAGUCGUAACAAGGUUUCCGUAGGUGAACCUGCGGAAGGAUCAUUAAUGAAAUGCAAGGACGCUCUUUUUAGAGGUCCGACCCAAAUCAUUUUCUCACACUGUGCACACUACUACUUUUUACACCCAUUUUUAACACUAUGAGUAAAAGAAUGUAAACAGUCUCUUAUUUGAGCAUAAAAUUAAAACAAAACUUUCAGCAACGGAUCUCUUGGCUCUCC